Molecule: ribosomal RNA, 506 nt
Filed under: uncultured bacterium
Lineage: Bacteria
Description: partial 16S ribosomal RNA
Rfam family: Bacterial small subunit ribosomal RNA
Source: RNAcentral
GAUGAACGCUAGCGAUAGGCUUAACACAUGCAAGUCGAGGGGCAGCAUGGUCUUAGCUUGCUAAGACUGAUGGCGACCGGCGCACGGGUGCGUAACGCGUAUGCAACUUGCCUCACAGAGGGGGAUAACCCGUCGAAAGACGGACUAAUACCGCGUACACUUGGAGGGAGGCAUCUCCCAUCAAGGAAAAGAAAUUCGCUGUGAGAUAGGCAUGCGUCCCAUUAGCUAGUUGGUGAGGUAACGGCUCACCAAGGCAACGAUGGGUAGGGGAACUAGGAGGUGGAACCCCCACACUGGUACUGAGACACGGGCCAGACUCCUACGGGAGGCAGCAGUGAGGAAUAUUGGUCAAUGGGCGAGAGCCUGAACCAGCCAAGUGGCGUGAAGGAUGACUGUCUUAUGGAUUGUAAACUUCUUUUGUAGGGGAAUAAAGAACGGUACGUGUACCGUAGUGAAUGUACCCUACGAAUAAGCAUCGGCUAACUCCGUGCCAGCAGCCGCCGUAA